This is an RNA transcript of Marmota monax (woodchuck), 3688 nucleotides long. It is a transcript of the gene named neurogenic locus notch homolog protein 4, with no coding region annotated. NCBI's taxonomy places the organism in Eukaryota, Metazoa, Chordata, Mammalia, Rodentia, Sciuridae. The record is from RefSeq and is a predicted model, not a curated record. The transcript is spliced from 15 exons.
AGCAUAAAACAGUGCCUGGCAUACAGCAAGUGCUCAACAAAGAAUUUUUGGAUGAAUAAAUGAGCCAAUCACAUGCAACAGUACUUCUUGAAAGUGGCAUUGAAUGUGGGUGUCCAGGACAUUGUGUGACUCAGGAAACAGCUCAGACAUUAGGCUUGCAGCAGGCUGAAGAGGACAAGGAAAGGGCAGUGUGAGCCAAGGAGGUGGCCCUGCCACAGUGAGGGCUCUGAAAGUCCCUGCCUGAAAAGGGAGAGGAGAUCUGGGCUUGGGGAUGCUCUGGAAUGCAGCCCCCUUCCCUGCUGCUGCUUCUGCUGCUGCCGCCACCACCGUGUUUCCUAGUUGUCAUGGCCAGAGGGCUGCUGUGCGGAAGUUUUCCAGAACCCUGUGCCAAUGGAGGCACCUGCCUGACCCUGCCUCAGGGGCAAGAGACCUGCCUGUGUGCCCCUGGCUUCCUGGGCAAGACAUGCAAGUUUCCUGACCCCUGCCAAGAUGCUCAGCUCUGCCAGAAUGGGGGCAGCUGCCAAACCCUGCUUCCCACCUCACCAGGCUCCUCUAGCUCCCCCUCUCCAUUGCCCCCCAGCUUCUUCUGCAACUGCCCCACUGGCUUCACUGGUAAAAGGUGCCAGGUCCGCCUCCAAGACCCCUGUCUUCCCUCCUUCUGUUCCAAAAGGGGCCGCUGCCACAUCCAGGCUUCAGGCCACCCACAGUGCACCUGCAUGCCUGGAUGGACAGGUGAGCAGUGCCAGCUUCGGGACUUCUGCUCAGCCAACCCCUGCAUCAAUGGAGGCGUAUGUCUGGCCACAUACCCCCAGAUCCAGUGCCGCUGCCCACCUGGCUUUGAGGGUCAUGCCUGCCAACAUGAUGUCAAUGAGUGCUUCCAGGACCCUGGACUCUGCCCUAAAGGCACCUCCUGCCAUAAUACCCUGGGCUCCUACCAAUGUCUCUGCCCUGCAGGGCGGGAAGGUCCACACUGUGAGCUCCGAACAGGACCCUGCCCCCUGGCAGGCUGUUCAAAUGGGGGCACCUGCCAGCUGGUGCCAGGGGGAGACACCACCUUUCACUUCUGCCUCUGCCCGCCAGGCUUCACAGGCCUAGACUGCGAGGUGAAUCCAGAUGACUGUAUUGAGCACCACUGUCAGAAUGGGGGCAUUUGCCAGGACGGACUGGGCACCUACACCUGCCUCUGCCCAGAGACUUGGACAGGCUGGGAUUGCUCUGAAGAUGUGGAUGAAUGUGAGGUUCACGGUCCCCCUCACUGCAAAAAUGGGGGUACCUGCCAGAACUUGCCUGGCAGCUUUCAUUGUGUAUGUGUGAGUGGCUGGGGAGGCACAGGCUGUGAAGAGAACCUGGAUGACUGUGUUGCUGCUACCUGUGCUCCUGGAUCCACCUGCAUUGACCACAUGGGCUUCUUUUCCUGCCUCUGCCCACCUGGGCGCACAGGCCUCCUAUGCCACCUGGAAGAUAUGUGUCUGAGCCAGCCAUGCCAUGGGGAAGCCCAGUGCAGCACCAACCCCCUGACGGGCUCCACACUCUGCCUGUGCCAACCUGGCUACUCAGGGCCCACCUGCCACCAAGACCUGGAUGAGUGUCAGAUGGCCCAGCAAGGUCCCAGUCCCUGUGAACAUGGUGGUUCCUGCCUCAACACCCCUGGCUCCUUCAACUGCCUCUGUCCACCUGGCUACACAGGCUCCCGCUGUGAGGCUGAUCAUAAUGAGUGCCUGUCCCAGCCCUGCCACCCAGGCAGCACCUGCCUGGACCUCCUUGCCACCUUCCACUGCCUCUGCCCACCAGGUUUAGAAGGGCUACUCUGUGAGGUGGAGACCAAUGAGUGUGCCUCAGCUCCUUGCCUGAACCAAGCUGACUGUCACGACCUGCGCAAUGGCUUCCUGUGUGUCUGCCAGCCUGGAUUCACUGGCACCCAGUGUGAGGAAGACAUCGAUGAAUGCAGAAGCUCUCCCUGUGCCAAUGGUGGUCAGUGCCAGGACCAGCCUGGAGCCUUCCAUUGCAAGUGUCUCCCAGGCUUUGAAGGGCCACAGUGUGAGACAGAGGUGGACGAGUGUCUGAGUAGCCCAUGCCCCAGUGGAGCCAGCUGCCUUGAUCUCCCAGGAGCCUUCUUUUGCCUGUGCCCCUCUGGCUUCACAGGCCAGCUCUGUGAGGUUCCUGUGUGUGCCCCCAACCUGUUCCAGCCUGAAAAAAAAUGCCAGGAUCAGGAAAACAAGAUCCACUGCCUCUGCCCCAGUGGAAGCCUUGGCUGUGCCCCUGCUGAGGACAACUGCACCUGCCACCAUGGGCAUUGCCAGAGAAAAAAAUGAAAGACAAAUAAACGAGGAAAAUGUUGGCAGCACGGGCAGUGAAUCCAGACUUUCCAGGACAGGCUCUCACUAAGUUGCUGAGGUUGGCCUCUAACUCAAGAUUCUCCUGUCUUAGCCUCCAGAGUCACUGGAAUUACAGGUGGUGCUACUGUGCCAGGCUCAUAUGUGUUUGAUAUUUUUAAAAGUUCUACUUUUUCAUACUUUACUAAAAUAAACUCAUAAAGAGAUUUUUUUAAAAAAAUUUUUUAGUUGUAGUUGGACACAAUACCUUUGCUUUAUUUAUUUAUUUUUAUGUGGUGCUGAGGAUUGAACCCAAGGCCCUCGCAUGUGCUAGGCGAGCGCUCUACCACUGAGCCACAACUCCAGCUCAUAGAGAUUAUCAGUUUUACAGAACUUAGAUUGGAAACUGUUACUGAGCAGUUCCCAUCCAUUAGUCUACCCUCACUGGGGAGAAGCUGUCCAUUGGCCUCCCUGUCCUUUAGAUGGUGCACACUAUUAAGUGGGCCUACAAGAAAGGACUACGAGGGGCUGGGAUUGUGGCUCAGCAGUAGAGCACUCACCUAGCACGGUCGAGGCCCUGGGCUCGAUCCUCAGCACCACAUAAAAAUAAAUAAAUAAAGGUAUUGUGUCCAACUACAACUAAAAAAUAAAAAAAUAAAAAUAAAAAAGAAAGGACUAUGUUGUUUGUUUGCAAAGGGAUCUUCAAGUGAGCACUCAGUGUCUUUCCAGUCACUGGUGGUUGUAGAUAAUGGCAAUUAUGCAACAGAGAAAAUAUGACCCAGGCAGAAUGUGCAGUAUGUGCCAUGGAAAAUUGUCCUCAGAGACACUCACCCUGUCUGGAAUGAGCCAGUAGUCCCAGGCCAAGGAUUCAGAUUUGCUAGACCUGUGUAUGGGCCAGGUUUAGGCCAAGCUCAUGCCUUUGCAAGGCUCCCGAGGUGGUUUCGAUGUGCACCCACCUGUGGUGAAGUGAACCUGUGGAUGGAGUCAGAUCAGGGAAGGGAGAGACUUGGCUUCUACUCUUGCUCCUUCACUGCCUUGCAGUUUGAUUACAGACUAAGGUUUCCAUUUCCUAGGUUUCAGUUUCCUCCUUUUGCUAUAAAGGGGAAGAGUCGGGCUAAAGUGGGAUCCUAAUUCUGUUGCUGAAAGCUAGGUCCUUUUUCCUGAUGCCAAUCCAAUAACGAGGACAUGGUUUUGAGAAAAAAGGAAAAAGUUUAUUGCUUUGCUAGCAAAGGAGAAGAAACACAGGGGACUCCUGUCUCAAAGGCUGUGAUUCUUCCCACUAGCAGGAACAGGGGGUUUUUAUAGAGGUGAUUCAGAGAAAAUGAGGGAAGAGAUCAGGCAGAAGAAAAUCAGGGAAAAGAAGACCAGGGAGAAGG